GGAAUUGGAGGAAGCCAAACAGGCAAAUGGGAGGAUCAGUAAUAAGAUUGCAGCAGAUCAGUAUUCAACAACAAAUCAACCUAGGAGUAGUUUGAAACAAAGCAAAAUUGUCCAACAUCAAAUAGAACUCGAACCAAAGCAAACUAAAAGAACCCAAUAACCUUUUUGUCCCCUAAGGUAACUAAUGGAAUAGUGAGUUUGGGAUUUCAGUGGCCUUGGUUGUGCAGAAUUUAUUUUUAUCCCUCGAAAAGAACCCCUCUCCUAGGCAAACGACUACCAUUUUAUAAGCUAAAGUUAGGGCAACUCUUUUUAUUUUCAAUUACAACCUAAGUACUUCUUUUAGUCUAAGAUUUUGGCCAAUUAGUCCCUUAUUUUAUACCUUUAUAGCCAAGUUAUACCAAAUAAGUCCUAAAUUUCAAAUUGAAACCGUAUCUAGAAGAUUCUAGUGGGUUCCAAGUUAGUUACUGCAUUAUUUUCUAUUUUGAAAUACCCCAAACAACCCUGGACCAAAUCUAUAUUACUAACCUAGGCUAAAGUAAAUUUG
This 544-nucleotide long non-coding RNA is filed under the name Nicotiana benthamiana. Its description in RNAcentral is "long non-coding RNA (NBEN_LNC017764)". Lineage: Eukaryota; Viridiplantae; Streptophyta; Magnoliopsida; Solanales; Solanaceae. The record is from RNAcentral.